GACGAACGCUGGCGGCUUGCUUAACACAUGCAAGUCGAACGGAAAGGCCCUGCUUGCAGGGUACUCGAGUGGCGAACGGGUGAGUAACACGUGGGUGAUCUGCCCUGCACUUCGGGAUAAGCCUGGGAAACUGGGUCUAAUACCGGAUAGGAGCCAUUUUUAGUGUGAUGGUUGGAAAGUUUUUUCGGUGUAGGAUGAGCUCGCGGCCUAUCAGCUUGUUGGUGGGGUAAUGGCCUACCAAGGCGGCGACGGGUAGCCGGCCUGAGAGGGUGGACGGCGACAUUGGGACUGAGAUACGGCCCAGACGCCGACGGGAGGCAGCAGGGGGGAAUAUUGCACAAUGGGCGCAAGCCUGAUGCAGCGAGGCCGCGUGGGGGAAGACGGCCUUCGGGUUGAAAACACCUUUCGCUAGGGACGAAGCUUUUUGUGACGGUACCUAGAUAAGAAGCACCGGCUAACUACGUG
Molecule: ribosomal RNA, 465 nt
Filed under: uncultured bacterium
Lineage: Bacteria
Description: partial 16S ribosomal RNA
Rfam family: Bacterial small subunit ribosomal RNA
Source: RNAcentral